This 468-nucleotide ribosomal RNA is filed under the name uncultured bacterium. RNAcentral describes it as "partial 16S ribosomal RNA". It matches the Rfam family "Bacterial small subunit ribosomal RNA", at positions 28 to 507 of the family's 1533-position model. The record is from RNAcentral.
GACGAACGCUGGCGGCGUGCUUAACACAUGCAAGUCGAACGGAAAGGCCCUGCUUUUGUGGGGUGCUCGAGUAGCGAACGGGUGAGUAACACGUGAGUAACCUGCCCUUGACUUUGGGAUAACUUCAGGAAACUGGGGCUAAUACCGGAUAGGAGCUCCUGCUGCAUGGUGGGGGUUGGAAAGUUUCGGCGGUUGGGGAUGGACUCGCGGCUUAUCAGCUUGUUGGUGGGGUAGUGGCUUACCAAGGCUUUGACGGGUAGCCGGCCUGAGAGGGUGACCGGGCAAAAUGGGGAUGAGAUACGGGCCAGAAGUCUACGGGAGGGAGGAGGGGGGAAUAUUGCAAAAAGGGGGGAAGCCUGAUGCAGCAACGCCGCGUGCGGGAUGACGGCCUUCGGGUUGUAAACCGCUUUCGCCUGUGACGAAGCGUGAGUGACGGUAAUGGGUAAAGAAGCACCGGCUAACUACGUG